This 336-nucleotide unclassified non-coding RNA is filed under the name soil metagenome. Its description in RNAcentral is "partial contains 5.8S ribosomal RNA, internal transcribed spacer 2, and large subunit ribosomal RNA". The stretch from base 1 to 120 matches the Rfam family "5.8S ribosomal RNA", at positions 35 to 154 of the family's 154-position model. The record is from RNAcentral.
GAUGAAGAACGUAGCGAAAUGCGAUAAGUAGUGUGAAUUGCAGAAUUCAGUGAAUCAUCGAAUCUUUGAACGCGCAUUGCGCCCCUUGGUAUUCCAUGGGGCAUGCCUGUUCGAGCGUCAUUUGUACCCUCAAGCUUUGCUUGGUCUUGGGUGUUUGUCCUCUCCUUUGCGUUUGGACUCGCCUUAAAGCAAUUGGCAGCCAGUGUUUUGGUAUUGAAGCGCAGCACAUUUUGCGAUUCUAGCCGAUAAUACUUGCGUCCAUAAGCCUUUUUUAACUUUUGACCUCGGAUCAGGUAGGGAUACCCGCUGAACUUAAGCAUAUCAAUAAGCGGAGGA